GCAUGAAAAACAUUAACGUGAAAAUGUCUUAAUUAUAGAUCAUUUAUGAAAUUUCUUUAGCAUUUGCAGAAGAGUGGUGGAGGAUUUCUGGACUUGUAGCUCAUGUGGUAGCAUGUGCAGGAUGCUCAGCCAGAUUCAGACGGAUAAUAUAGGGAUAGAUGACAGAACCACAAUAUAGAUGAGUUCCAAUCUUUACCCCACUUGAAAUCAGUAUUAACCCUGGAUCAUGGUAAUGUGUAAUUAAUUUCCCAUCCAAAUUCACCACAAAUACACCAGCGUUCUUCUGUGUUCGCAAGUUUACAAUGUACUUAAAUACAAUUCUUG
RNAcentral lists this unclassified non-coding RNA (324 nucleotides) under Hevea brasiliensis (rubber tree). Lineage: Eukaryota; Viridiplantae; Streptophyta; Magnoliopsida; Malpighiales; Euphorbiaceae. The record is from RNAcentral.